AUUGAACGCUGGCGGCAGGCUUAACACAUGCAAGUCGAGCGGAGACUUCGGUCUUAGCGGCGAACGGGUGAGUAAUACCUAGGAAUCUGCCUAUUAGUGGGGGAUAACGAAUCGAAAGGUUCGCUAAUACCGCAUACGUCCUACGGGAGAAAGGGGGGGAUCUUCGGACCUCUCGCUAAUAGAUGAGCCUAGGCCGGAUUAGCUAGUUGGUAGGGUAAAGGCCUACCAAGGCGACGAUCUGUAGCUGGUCUGAGAGGAUGGCCGAGCCACACUGGAACUGAGACACGGUCCAGACUCCUACGGGAGGCAGCAGUGGGGAAUAUUGGACAAUGGGGGGCAACCCUGAUCCAGCCAUGCCGCGUGAGUGAAGAAGGCCCUCGGGUUGUAAAGCUCUUUUGUCCGGAAAGAAAAGCGCCGGGUUAAUACCCUAGUGUCCCUGACGGUACCGGAAGAAUAA
Molecule: ribosomal RNA, 457 nt
Filed under: uncultured bacterium
Lineage: Bacteria
Description: bacterial SSU rRNA
Rfam family: Bacterial small subunit ribosomal RNA
Source: RNAcentral